GAUGAAGAACGUAGCGAAAUGCGAUAAGUAAUGUGAAUUGCAGAAUUCCGUGAAUCAUCGAAUUUUUGAACGCAUAUUGCGCCCUCUGGUAUUCCGGAGGGCAUGCCUGUCCGAGCGUCAUUGCUGCCCUCAAGCCCGGCUUGUGUGUUGGGUCUCGUCCCCCUUCCCGGGGGGACGGGCCCGAAAGGCAGCGGCGGCACCGCGUCCGGUCCUCGAGCGUAUGGGGCUUUGUCACCCGCUCUGUAGGCCCGGCCGGCGCUUGCCGAUCAACCAAAACUUUUUUCCAGGUUGACCUCGGAUCAGGUAGGGAUACCCGCUGAACUUAAGCAUAUCAAUAAGCGGAGGA
Molecule: unclassified non-coding RNA, 346 nt
Filed under: soil metagenome
Description: partial contains 5.8S ribosomal RNA, internal transcribed spacer 2, and large subunit ribosomal RNA
Rfam family: 5.8S ribosomal RNA (bases 1-120)
Source: RNAcentral